GUCUUAAUUUGAAGAACUUAAUUUUUGAGUUAAAAAGCUUAAAUAUUCUUGUUGGACGAGAAGACCCUAUAGAUCUUUAUAAUUUUAUGUUUUGGUAAUUUAGAUUAUUAUUUACUUAAAGCAAAGUAAUUAUUUUGUUGGGGUGACUGUAGAAUUAAAAUAACUUCUAUUGUAUUUGUUUCAUUUAUUAAUGUUUUUAUGAUCCAUAUUUUAUGAUUAUAAGAUUAAGUUACCUUAGGGAUAACAGCGUAAUUUCCUCGGAGAGUUCAUAUGGAUGAGA
RNAcentral lists this ribosomal RNA (280 nucleotides) under Panstrongylus megistus. Its description in RNAcentral is "partial 16S ribosomal RNA". The record is from RNAcentral. Lineage: Eukaryota; Metazoa; Arthropoda; Insecta; Hemiptera; Reduviidae.